This 266-nucleotide signal recognition particle RNA is filed under the name Chloroflexota bacterium. Its description in RNAcentral is "Chloroflexi bacterium signal recognition particle sRNA large type". It matches the Rfam family "Bacterial large signal recognition particle RNA". From Rfam's summary of the family: The signal recognition particle (SRP) is a universally conserved ribonucleoprotein involved in the co-translational targeting of proteins to membranes. Archaeal SRP consists of a 7S RNA and homologues of the eukaryotic SRP19 and SRP54 proteins. Lineage: Bacteria; Bacillati; Chloroflexota. The record is from RNAcentral.
UCGCGCUAGAUGGGGCGUUAGCGGUGCCCUGUACCCGCAAUCCGCUAUAGCGGGGUCGAAUUCCCCACCGAGGGGGUGCGUCAUCGGGUCUGCUCCGAACGCAUUGGCGUUGACGACUGGGUCCCGCGCAGCUCGGGCCCGUGAACCCCGUCAGGUCCGGAAGGAAGCAGCGGUAAGCGGUUUCCCGGGGGUGCCGCGGAGCCACCUGGUCUGAGCCGGGCGGUCGGGUGAGCGCUGGUGGCGUGCCAACGACGUGGGGUGCGCGA